This 879-nucleotide unclassified non-coding RNA is filed under the name Hevea brasiliensis (rubber tree). Lineage: Eukaryota; Viridiplantae; Streptophyta; Magnoliopsida; Malpighiales; Euphorbiaceae. The record is from RNAcentral.
AAAAAAAAAAGAGCACUGCUUCAAUCUCAUUCUAGUUGGGGUCAGAUUUAUGGAUAAUGUUUCUCCAUUUUGAUUAGUUUACAGCCUCAAUAACAAUGCCAUAUUCAGAUUAAAUAUACAGUACAGAACACAUCAUCCAAAUUCCAAAAGAAUCAUCAAUUGUACAGCACCCAACAUGUAAAACGCAAACUAUCAUUAUCAAUGUCUACAAAACAUCACUCACAAUACUUCAAACUGUCAAGCAUAUUUUGCUCAUAUUUUAAAAGCCAUUAAAUAUUUUUAAAAACAGAAAAUCAUACUAAUCAAGGUUGCUCGAUACACCGUACACCAUGAGUUCAGGUCAUGGGUUGAAAUCCAAGCCCGUUUUCCAAAAACAAAGGAGGCGGCAGAAAAAAAAAUCUGGCUCAGAAAAAUAUUUUCUACAGUUUUCAGGAAACAUUUUGUAAUUUUUGUGGCUUGAAUUUUUGAUAUAUUUUUUUAUAGAGCUGAAUUGUGAUCCAGAGCCAAAGUUUUAGCGCUGCGACUCCGUUGGGAUAAAAAGUGAGAGAUCUGUGACGGUGUCAGUGGAGACUGAUCUCAACGCCCCAUCAGUAUAAAUAUUAUAAUGUUUUACUCUUUGUGCUGUCUUUAUGGUAGAAUUGUAAGAUAUUCAGAAAAUACUGAAAUUAGAAUUAGAAUUUUAGAGUUCUAAUUGAUUGUAUCUUGUUCUUUUCUAUCCAUUGUAGUGAUAUUUUUUUUUUCUUGUCUUGACAGUGAUCGAUCUUGUUAUAACACAUUUUUUGAAAAUUAGUAUUGAAGUCCUUCCUGUUUCGAACUUUUGAUAACAUGAAGUAGUUGUUUUCCGGUUACAAGUGAUUUCAAGACGUGCGUAAUAACUCU